UGGGGAAUAUUGGACAAUGGGCGGAAGCCUGAUCCAGCCAUGCCGCGUGUGUGAAGAAGGCCUUUUGGUUGUAAAGCACUUUAAGCGAGGAGGAGGCUACUUGUCUUAAUACUCUAGGAUAGUGGACGUUACUCGCAGAAUAAGCACCGGCUAACUCUGUGCCAGCAGCCGCGGUAAUACAGAGGGUGCGAGCGUUAAUCGGAUUUACUGGGCGUAAAGCGUGCGUAGGCGGCUUCUUAAGUCGGAUGUGAAAUCCCUGAGCUUAACUUAGGAAUUGCAUUCGAUACUGGGAAGCUAGAGUAUGGGAGAGGAUGGUAGAAUUCCAGGUGUAGCGGUGAAAUGCGUAGAGGUCUGGAGGAAUACGGAUGGCGGAGGCAGCCAUCUGGCCUAAUACUGACGCUGAGGUACGAAAGCAUGGGGAGCAAAAAGG
This 430-nucleotide ribosomal RNA is filed under the name bacterium. Its description in RNAcentral is "partial 16S ribosomal RNA". It matches the Rfam family "Bacterial small subunit ribosomal RNA", at positions 355 to 776 of the family's 1533-position model. The record is from RNAcentral.